This 445-nucleotide ribosomal RNA is filed under the name uncultured bacterium. RNAcentral describes it as "partial 16S ribosomal RNA". It matches the Rfam family "Bacterial small subunit ribosomal RNA", at positions 354 to 796 of the family's 1533-position model. The record is from RNAcentral.
GUGAGGAAUAUUGGUCAAUGGGCGAGAGCCUGAACCAGCCAAGUCGCGUGAAGGAAGAAGGAUCUAUGGUUCGUAAACUUCUUUUGCAGGGGAAUAAAGUGCAGGACGUGUCCUGUUUUGUAUGUACCCUGAGAAUAAGGAUCGGCUAACUCCGUGCCAGCAGCCGCGGUAAUACGGAGGAUCCGAGCGUUAUCCGGAUUUAUGGGGUUUAAAGGGUGCGUAGGUGGUUUGAUAAGUCAGCGGUGAAAGUUUGCAGCUUAACUGUAAAAAUGCCGUUGAAACUGUCGGACUUGAGUGUAAAUGAGGUAGGCGGAAUGCGUGGUGUAGCGGUGAAAUGCAUAGAUAUCACGCAGAACUCCGAUUGCGAAGGCAGCUUACUAAGCUACAACUGACACUGAAGCACGAAAGCGUGGGGAUCAAACAGGAUUAGAUACCCUGGUAGUCC